GAAAAAAAAAACCAUUUAAAUAGAUUGGUAGGGGUCGUUGAUCCGAUUUCAGACAGUAUUACGCAUUACCCGCUCUCUCUAGAAAACAAAACAAACAGAGUGCCAUUAUAUGGAUAUAACAGUACCUGGAAAGAAUGUUUCUGAGGAAGUGACUCGUGAGUCGCUUAUCGCCAUCUCUUACUCGGAACCAGAAUCAGCUCUCUCUUCAAAGCGAUCAUCUGGAAAGCUCAAUAGCCAAAACCUCAAUCUGGUGGAAGGGAAAGAAUUUGAUGCAGAUGAGAAAUAUAGAUCUGAGCUGAUAUCAAUUUCCUUCCUCGAGUCGCCACCCGAAAUUGGAAGUGUACCCGUCGGCAAACUCAAAGGUUAGCACCUGGACGUUCGUUAUCGUAAUUGUAUACACUCUUAUGUAGAAAUGAUGCUAAUCUAAGUGUGUUGUUGCAACCAUGGAGCAAUUGUGUCCAUGUUCUUUGGUUCUGUAACUUAGACCCUCCCACUGGUUGUGUGUACUAUCUUUAUCUUUUGAAAACUUAUUGCCGUGUGAGCCCCAAUGAAUGAACUUAUGAACCCUCGCUAC
Cucurbita pepo subsp. pepo (vegetable marrow) is the source of this 574-nucleotide non-coding RNA. NCBI's taxonomy places the organism in Eukaryota, Viridiplantae, Streptophyta, Magnoliopsida, Cucurbitales, Cucurbitaceae. The record is from RefSeq and is a predicted model, not a curated record.